This 253-nucleotide ribosomal RNA is filed under the name uncultured bacterium. Its description in RNAcentral is "partial 16S ribosomal RNA". It matches the Rfam family "Bacterial small subunit ribosomal RNA", at positions 524 to 776 of the family's 1533-position model. The record is from RNAcentral.
UACGUAGGGUGCGAGCGUUGUCCGGAUUUAUUGGGCGUAAAGAGCUCGUAGGCGGUUUGUCGCGUCGGCCGUGAAAUCUCCACGCUUAACGUGGAGCGUGCGGUCGAUACGGGCAGACUUGAGUUCGGUAGGGGAGACUGGAAUUCCUGGUGUAGCGGUGAAAUGCGCAGAUAUCAGGAGGAACACCGGUGGCGAAGGCGGGUCUCUGGGCCGAUACUUACGCUGAGGAGCGAAAGCGUGGGGAGCGAACAGG